RNAcentral lists this ribosomal RNA (489 nucleotides) under uncultured bacterium. Its description in RNAcentral is "bacterial SSU rRNA". It matches the Rfam family "Bacterial small subunit ribosomal RNA", at positions 30 to 509 of the family's 1533-position model. The record is from RNAcentral.
AUUGAACGCUGGCGGCAUGCCUUACACAUGCAAGUCGAACGGCAGCACGGACUUCGGUCUGGUGGCGAGUGGCGAACGGGUGAGUAAUGUAUCGGAACGUACCUUUCAGUGGGGGAUAACGUAGCGAAAGUUACGCUAAUACCGCAUAUUCUGUGAGCAGGAAAGCAGGGGAUCGCAAGACCUUGCGCUGAUUGAGCGGCCGAUAUCAGAUUAGCUAGUUGGUGAGGUAAAGGCUCACCAAGGCGACGAUCUGUAGCGGGUCUGAGAGGAUGAUCCGCCACACUGGAACUGAGACACGGUCCAGACUCCUACGGGAGGCAGCAGUGGGGAAUUUUGGACAAUGGGCGCAAGCCUGAUCCAGCCAUUCCGCGUGCAGGAUGAAGGCCUUCGGGUUGUAAACUGCUUUUGUACGGUAACGAAACGGUUACUCUCUAAUUACAGGGGCUAAGUGACGGUACCGUAAGAAUAAGCACCGGCUAACUACGUGCC